GAUGAACGCUGGCGGCGUGCCUAAUACAUGCAAGUCGAGCGAACAGACGAGGAGCUUGCUCCUCUGACGUUAGCGGCGGACGGGUGAGUAACACGUGGAUAACCUACCUAUAAGACUGGGAUAACUUCGGGAAACCGGAGCUAAUACCGGAUAAUAUAUUGAACCGCAUGGUUCAAUAGUGAAAGACGGUUUUGCUGUCACUUAUAGAUGGAUCCGCGCCACAUUAGCUAGUUGGUAAGGUAACGGCUUACCAAGGCAACGAUGCGUAGCCGACCUGAGAGCGUGAUCAGCCGCACUGGAACUGAGAGACGUGCCAGACUCCUACGGGAGGCAGCAGUAGGGAAUCUUCCGCAAUAGGCGAAAGCCUGACGGAGCAACGCCGCGUGAGUGAUGAAGGUCUUCGGAUCGUAAAACUCUGUUAUUAGGGAAGAACAAAUGUGUAAGUAACUAUGCACGUCUUGACGGUACCUAAUCAGAAAGCCACGGCUAACUACGUG
RNAcentral lists this ribosomal RNA (497 nucleotides) under uncultured bacterium. RNAcentral's name for it is "partial 16S ribosomal RNA". It matches the Rfam family "Bacterial small subunit ribosomal RNA", at positions 28 to 507 of the family's 1533-position model. The record is from RNAcentral.